RNAcentral lists this ribosomal RNA (441 nucleotides) under uncultured archaeon. RNAcentral describes it as "bacterial SSU rRNA". It matches the Rfam family "Bacterial small subunit ribosomal RNA", at positions 523 to 960 of the family's 1533-position model. The record is from RNAcentral.
AUCCGGCGGGUGCUAGCGUUAUUCGGAAUUACUGGGCGUAAAGCGCACGCAGGCGGUUGGAUAAGUUAGAUGUGAAAGCCCCGGGCUCAACCUGCGAAUUGCAUUUAAAACUGUCCAGCUAGAGUCUUGUACAGGGGGGUAGAAUUCCAGGUGUAGCGGUGAAAUGCGUAGAGAUCUGGAGGAAUACCGGUGGCGAAGGCGGCCCCCUGGACAAAGACUGACGCUCAGGUGCUAAAGCGUGGGGAGCAAACAGGAUUAGAUACUCUGGUAGUCCACGCCGUACACGAUGUCGAUUUGGGAGGCUGUGUCCUUGAGACGUGGCUUCCGGAGCUAACGCGUCAAAUCGACCGCCUGGGGAGUUCGGUCGCAAGGUUAAAACUCAAAUGAAUUGACGGGGGCCCGGCACAAGCGGUGGAGCAUGUCGGUUUAAUUCGAUGCAAC